GUCAUGGUGGCCGAGUGGUUAAGGCGUUGGACUCGAAAUCCAAUGGGGUCUCCCCACACAGGUUCAAAUCUUGUCCAUGACG
This 82-nucleotide transfer RNA is filed under the name Petromyzon marinus (sea lamprey). RNAcentral describes it as "tRNA-Ser (CGA) (tRNA-Ser-CGA-9 1 to 3)". It matches the Rfam family "tRNA". Rfam says of the family: Transfer RNA (tRNA) molecules are approximately 80 nucleotides in length. Lineage: Eukaryota; Metazoa; Chordata; Hyperoartia; Petromyzontiformes; Petromyzontidae. The record is from RNAcentral.